Molecule: ribosomal RNA, 274 nt
Filed under: uncultured bacterium
Lineage: Bacteria
Description: partial 16S ribosomal RNA
Rfam family: Bacterial small subunit ribosomal RNA
Source: RNAcentral
AUACGGAGGGUGCAAGCGUUGUUCGGAAUUACUGGGCGUAAAGAGCGUGUAGGCGGUCGAGCAAGUCGGUUGUGAAAGCCCCGGGCUCAACCCGGGAACUGCAUCCGAAACUUCUAGACUAGAGUCCCGGAGAGGAAGGCAGAAUUCCCAAUGUAGGGGUGAAAUCCGUAGAUAUUGGGAGGAAUACCAGCGGCGAAGGCGGCCUUCUGGACGGUGACUGACGCUGAGACGCGAAAGCGUGGGGAGCAAACAGGAUUAGAAACCCCGGUAGUCC